AAAAAAAAAAAGUUUAUAAAAUGUUUGCUUCCAUAAGAAUGAAGAUAAAUCUGAACAACGAUUAGUAAUACCUAAAAAUGGUAGUAAAAUAGAAGGAAAAAGACCUGCAGGACCUACAGGACUUUUAUACUUCAGGUUCCAAAGGGCAAUCCUGAACUUCUUUCAGCCCAAGAACUCCAGGUUAAAGAACUGGACUCCUUGAAUACUUAAAGUAAUCAGAAGAAGUGAAUCAAAAGUUCAAAACCGAUCUCUCUCAGCCUUGUAAUUCAAAAAUCCAUUCUGUUUUCUUCUUUACUUUUCUAUUCUAUUCCUUUAAGCAUAUUCUUACACUGGCCUUAUCAAUGUACUGUCUGAGUACAUUUCUGAAUUGUGUUCUGUUCUGGUCUUGUUCUCUCAAAAUAAAUUAUCUGUAUUCUUGCAUGUU
This 424-nucleotide long non-coding RNA is filed under the name Gallus gallus (chicken). Its description in RNAcentral is "long non-coding RNA NONGGAT002505". Lineage: Eukaryota; Metazoa; Chordata; Aves; Galliformes; Phasianidae. The record is from RNAcentral.